UCCUGUAGUGGGGAUAACCCCGCGAAAGCCGGAUUAAUUACCGAUACGCUCUACGGAGGAAAGGGGGGGAUCUUAGACCUCCGCUACAGGGGCGCCGAUGGCAGAUUAGCUAGUUGGUGGGGUAAAGGCCUACCAAGGCGACGAUCUGUAGCUGGUCUGAGAGGACGACCAGCCACACUGGGACUGAGACACGGCCCAGACUCCUACGGGAGGCAGCAGUGGGGAAUUUUGGACAAUGGCGAAAGCCUGAUCCAGCAAUGCCGCGUGUGUGAAGAAGGGCUCGGGUUGUAAAGCACUUUUGUCCGGAAAGAAAACGCCGUGGUUAAUACCCGUGGCGGAUGACGUACCGGAAGAAUAACCCG
RNAcentral lists this ribosomal RNA (362 nucleotides) under Burkholderia sp. oral taxon C87. Its description in RNAcentral is "bacterial SSU rRNA". It matches the Rfam family "Bacterial small subunit ribosomal RNA", at positions 129 to 493 of the family's 1533-position model. Lineage: Bacteria; Pseudomonadati; Pseudomonadota; Betaproteobacteria; Burkholderiales; Burkholderiaceae. The record is from RNAcentral.